RNAcentral lists this ribosomal RNA (275 nucleotides) under uncultured bacterium. RNAcentral describes it as "partial 16S ribosomal RNA". It matches the Rfam family "Bacterial small subunit ribosomal RNA", at positions 338 to 630 of the family's 1533-position model. The record is from RNAcentral.
CCUACGGGGGGCUGCAGUCGGGAAUUUUGGGCAAUGGGCGAAAGCCUGACCCAGCAACGCCGCGUGAAGGAUGAAGUAUUUCGGUAUGUAAACUUCGUAAGAAUAGGAAGAAUCAAUGACGGUACUAUUUGUAAGCUCCGGCUAACUACGUGCCAGCAGCCGCGGUAAUACGUAGGGGGCAAGCGUUGUUCGGAUUUACUGGGCGUAAAGGGCGCGUAGGCGGCGUGACAAGUCACUUGUGAAAUCUCCGGGCUUAACUCGGAACGGUCAAGUGA